RNAcentral lists this ribosomal RNA (253 nucleotides) under uncultured bacterium. Its description in RNAcentral is "partial 16S ribosomal RNA". It matches the Rfam family "Bacterial small subunit ribosomal RNA", at positions 524 to 776 of the family's 1533-position model. The record is from RNAcentral.
GACGUAGGGAGCGAGCGUUGUCCGGAUUCAUUGGGCGUAAAGAGCGCGCAGGCGGUUUGGUAAGUCGGAUGUGAAAUCCCGGGGCUCAACCCCGGACCUGCAUCCGAUACUGCCCGACUAGAGGUAGGUAGGGGAGAGUGGAAUUCCUGGUGUAGCGGUGAAAUGCGCAGAUAUCAGGAGGAACACCGGUGGCGAAGGCGGCUCUCUGGGCCUUACCUGACGCUGAGGAGCGAAAGCUGGGGGAGCGAACAGG